This 414-nucleotide ribosomal RNA is filed under the name Thallomys loringi (Loring's rat). RNAcentral's name for it is "partial 12S ribosomal RNA". It matches the Rfam family "Bacterial small subunit ribosomal RNA", at positions 768 to 1384 of the family's 1533-position model. Lineage: Eukaryota; Metazoa; Chordata; Mammalia; Rodentia; Muridae. The record is from RNAcentral.
UAAACUGGGAUUAGAUACCCCACUAUGCUUGGCCCUAAACCUAAAUAAUUAAAUAACAAAACUAUUUGCCAGAGAACUACUAGCCACCGCUUAAAACUCAAAGGACUUGGCGGUACUUUAUAUCCGUCUAGAGGAGCCUGUUCUAUAAUCGAUAAACCCCGCUAUACCUCACCAUCUCUUGCUAAUUCAGCCUAUAUACCGCCAUCUUCAGCAAACCCUAAAAAGGUACUAAAGUAAGCGCAAGAACAAACAUAAAAACGUUAGGUCAAGGUGUAGCCAAUGAGAUGGGAAGAAAUGGGCUACAUUUUCUUUUCAAAGAACAUCACGAAACCCUUUAUGAAACUAAAGGAUAAAGGAGGAUUUAGCAGUAAAUUAAGAAUAGAGUGCUUAAUUGAACAGAGCAAUGAAGUACGU